Molecule: non-coding RNA, 202 nt
Filed under: Firmicutes bacterium CAG:170
Lineage: Bacteria; Bacillati; Bacillota
Description: 6S / SsrS RNA
Rfam family: 6S / SsrS RNA
About the family: E. coli 6S RNA was the first non coding RNA to be sequenced, but its function was unknown until recently. It consists of 184 nucleotides that fold into an extended hairpin structure with a large single-stranded internal bulge.
Source: Rfam by way of RNAcentral
AGAUUCCUGCGGGGUGCGUGACGGCUCCACUUAAACCCACAUUAUAACUACGGGACGCUGUACUUCCGCUGCGGAUUGCAGGCCUCCCGCCCGUGCUCAGACAUUGCGGCGGACGUUGGAAGCGGUGAGGCAGCGGAGAGGCGACCCACCUGCCGUUUCGUGCAGGUUAUAAUUGGGGCUGCACGGCCAGUGCAGGUUAUAA